RNAcentral lists this ribosomal RNA (490 nucleotides) under uncultured bacterium. RNAcentral's name for it is "partial 16S ribosomal RNA". It matches the Rfam family "Bacterial small subunit ribosomal RNA", at positions 30 to 507 of the family's 1533-position model. The record is from RNAcentral.
AUUGAACGCUGGCGGCAGGCCUAACACAUGCAAGUCGAACGGUAACAGGAAGCAGCUUGCUGCUUCGCUGACGAGUGGCGGACGGGUGAGUAAUGUCUGGGAAGCUGCCUGAUGGAGGGGGAUAACUACUGGAAACGGUAGCUAAUACCGCAUAAUGUCGCAAGACCAAAGAGGGGGACCUUCGGGCCUCUUGCCAUCGGAUGUGCCCAGAUGGGAUUAGCUUGUUGGUGGGGUAACGGCUCACCAAGGCGACGAUCCCUAGCUGGUCUGAGAGGAUGACAAGCCACACUGGAACUGAGGCACGGUCCAGACUCCUACGGGAGGCAGCAGUGGGGAAUAUUGCACAAUGGGCGCAAGCCUGAUGCAGCCAUGCCGCGUGUAUGAAGAAGGCCUUCGGGUUGUAAAGUACUUUCAGCGGGGAGGAAGGGAGUAAAGUUAAUACCUUUGCUCAUUGACGUUACCCGCAGAAGAAGCACCGGCUAACUACGUG